GGAUGACAUUAUUUUGAUUUGUCAUUAUUUUGACUUGUACUUAACCUAAGUUUUGAUCUUUCACUUUUGUUAAUUAUUUUGGGUGUAAAUUGUCAAAUUGUGAUUUUUUUCUGUCAGAAUCGAAUGACAGUGAUGCACCUUUGCAAAUAUAAUGUCUAAUAAUAGGUUUAGGACUAUUAGUUAAUUAUUUAAUACUAGUUUUGUAAUAAAUAUUCAUAAACAAAGAUUUAUACGUGAUUUAAAGCGUUUUUCUAAGAAAAUGUACUCAUUUUGCUGAAUAAAUUCUCAGGGAAUUGUGUAAACAAUUUAAUUUUUCUCAUUUAGACGCAGAAUUUAAUAUUGAAUCGAUUAGUAAAAGAAUUUUUAUUGUAACCUACUGAAUUCAAAAGUUAUUAAUAAAAUAAAUUAAAAUUAACUGGAAAUUAACAAAAUUGCAGUUUUUACCAACAAAUUCGAAAAUCAAACGAGUUAUAUAUUAUUGUUUCUUCUCUACUUUUAAAUAUUACAUAGGCAAUCCAUGCUUUACUAGAUCAGCUACCCCCUCUACUUUUCGCGGGUUGCGCGCAGUACAUAAUCGUCCAGCAGUCCGUUUAAAGCUAUUUAGCUUCCCCCUUUUCUUUCUCCGCGUCUGCUAGUGGCUAAUAGGCAAUACCCACGCAUAUUGACAAACUCGACAUGUUUAUCCAUCAAUCAAAACAAUAAUAACAAUUUAUUUACAUCUUCCAAUAAUAAAUUCACCUACUUUAUAAUUAAUCACUAUAUCCACACGCAAUACAAUUCCUUCAAAUAAAUUUAUCAGUGAAUAACAACUUUACUCCUUCAAAUUAGCGGCAAUAACUCACAAUGACCCAAAAUUGGUCUCUAAACAUAUUAGUUAAUCUAAUUAUGUCACAAUAUUUCAACAAUUCAAUCUGUAUAAUAUAUACUUUUGAUGACAACAAAGAACCUGUCCAUUUAUCAACAAUUCCUGCUAUUAUGAUCGAUAUUGACCAUUUUGACUUGGAUCCAGACAGAAUCUGCCGAAAUUUUCUCAUUCACUGCACAGUGGCUUCUUCUGGUUUGAUGUUAGUUGAAAUAUUCAUUAAAUUGAACACUGAUGGAAUGUACAACAACAGAAAAUACGUUAUCAUCAUAGAUGACGAAGAAGUAUUCAAUGAUUUCUUCUUCAAUGCAAAUUUAAAUUUCAUCAGGGACGUAUUAAUCAUUUACAUAAAAAAUACUAAAGAUAAACAAGAUAAACAACAAGAAAUAUUGUUAUAUACACAUAAAUAUGUCGGUGUAGAAGGUAACAAUGAUCCAAUACUAUUAGACAUUUGGUUUGCAAAAAUCAAAGUUUUAAAUACAAACAUAACCUAUUUCCUGAUAAAGUCACCGACCAACAAGGAAGAGAACUACGUGUCCCUUGCAUGUAUCGAUUACCAUAUUCAAAUUGUGAUUUAAUUAACGGAAUGGGAAAUGAACACAAUGCAGUCUUAAAAUACGUCCAGAGAUUUAAUUUCACGCUAAAUAUUUAUGACAAUAUGACAGAAGAGAAUUUUGGUAAUAUAUACCUAAACGGAACCGCGGAUGGUAUAAUCGCUGGGUUAUUAAACGAAGAUGACAGCUAUUGUGACUUAAUUUAUGGUGGUACACCUCGAGAUGAUUAUAUGGAUGUAAUCAGAGUGUAAUCUAUACUUAUGAAGUUUCCGUACCAUUACCAAAGUAAAAUCAAAUAUUUUUAUCAAAAACUUUUAAAUUUUUUAAUUUUUAGGUUAAAAUAUGGUUGGUUCAUGUACGCGCACGUGUUUAACCUAUUUUCAUGGCUUCUACUCCUUGGGAUCUAUUUUUCAGCGAGAUUUUUAGUGUUUUUCCAUAAAAAACUCAAUAUUUUGAAAACCAAUCAGAAAAGCAUACUUCCCACAUAACAAACAUAACCAUGUAUGGAUUCUUCAUAAAUCAACCCACUGCAUUGACCAAGGACAUAAAAACCAGCGCGUUUUUAAAAUACAUCGUAAUUUUGCUACUUUUUUCAAGUGUUUUACUUGUUACAGCUUACAAUUCACGAUUAUCCAGUGUUAUGGUCGCACCAGAGUACGAAAAUAAUAUCAAAACGCUUGAAGAACUCGCUGAUAGUGAUUUACAGAUAUUAUUCUUUGAUGAAUACUAUAAUCUCUUACGUAGAGACACAAGAACAGUUUAUAAAAAAUUAUAUCAAAAAAUUUAUCUGAUUCCGAAUAAUACUGAUUUUGAAUUGUCGGAAAAGCUACUUUCUAGUGGAAAAUAUGCGGUGGCAAGAUAUAGAAGAUCAACAGGGGAAUAUUUUGAGUAUUUAGAACAUUUAUAUCAAAUGUACAAGAAGUUUAAACCGAUUACACCUGAGUUAUUCUCGGAUAAUUAUUAUAUUCUCUUGAAAGAAAACUCAAUGCACACUGUUGAGUUGGAUAAAUUGGUUAAUACUGCAUUUGAGGCUGGUUUGAUGAAGUUUUGGGAAGAAGACGCGUUAAGAGCAUGGGAAAAUAUUACUUUUCAACAACAAAUACAAGAUUAUUCAUUCGACAAAGUAACUGUUGACUUGAACAUGAACCAUUUAAAAGGAUGUUUUGCUUUUUGGAUGAUCGGAUUGAUUAUUGCAAGUGUUGUAUUCAUAAAAGAAGUUUACAUGGCAAAAACCCACAGAAAAUAUCAUUCUAAAACUCCUAAAAUUGAAUUUACUCUUUAAAAUUAAUAAAAAUCUUUAAAAAAUUUAA
Molecule: long non-coding RNA, 2726 nt
Organism: Dalotia coriaria
Lineage: Eukaryota; Metazoa; Arthropoda; Insecta; Coleoptera; Staphylinidae
Exons: 3
Source: RefSeq, a predicted model, not a curated record